RNAcentral lists this ribosomal RNA (223 nucleotides) under uncultured bacterium. RNAcentral describes it as "partial 16S ribosomal RNA". It matches the Rfam family "Bacterial small subunit ribosomal RNA", at positions 28 to 250 of the family's 1533-position model. The record is from RNAcentral.
GACGAACGCUGGCGGCGUGCUUAACACAUGCAAGUCGAGCGGUAAGGCCCUUUCGGGGGUACGACGAGCGGCGAACGGGUGAGUAACACGUGGGUGACCUGCCCUCAGCUCUGGGAGUAAGCCCGGGAAACUGGGUCUAAUACUGGAUAUGACUCCACGGUGCAUGUCGUGGGGUGGAAAGCCUUGUGCGGCUGAGGAUGGGCCCGCGGCCUAUCAGCUUGUU